This 60-nucleotide microRNA precursor is filed under the name Ornithorhynchus anatinus (platypus). Its description in RNAcentral is "Oan-Mir-30-P2a_pre stem-loop". It matches the Rfam family "mir-30 microRNA precursor family", at positions 1 to 60 of the family's 77-position model. From Rfam's summary of the family: This family consists of the mammalian microRNA (miRNA) precursor mir-30a. The record is from RNAcentral. Lineage: Eukaryota; Metazoa; Chordata; Mammalia; Monotremata; Ornithorhynchidae.
UGUAAACAUCCUACACUCAGCUGUGACCCACCCAGCGGCUGGGAGGGGGAUGUUUGCUUC